RNAcentral lists this long non-coding RNA (541 nucleotides) under Corvus moneduloides (New Caledonian crow). RNAcentral's name for it is "lncRNA (ENSCMUG00000020123.1)". The record is from RNAcentral. Lineage: Eukaryota; Metazoa; Chordata; Aves; Passeriformes; Corvidae.
CUGCACAGUCAACUCUUAGGUUUCCUUGGAAAUUUUUCAACAAAUCAAAAUUUUGUUGGAAACAUCUACACAGCUUUCAUAAUUCAAGUUACUUGGGCUUUUGAAAUGCCUUGGAUUUGACAGACUUCUGCGAGCUCAGAGUUACUGAUUAGAAUCAUCAAACUAUAGAUUGGAAAGGAUGCUUGGAGGUCAUCUGGUCCAACCUCAUGCUGAAAGCAGACCUGACUUCCCAAUUAGAUGAUGUUGUCCACGGCCUUGUUUGGUGAGCUGUGUCUCUCUCUGGGAGCAGUGAUGCUGCAGUCUCCUUCUGCUUUCCUGUGCUCAACUGCACCCCAUGAGAAGAAUUGUCUUCCUUCUUUCAAAAGACAGUGACUGGCUUUGCAGGUACAAUAUCCCUCAGCAUCGCACAGAGAGGCAUUGCUGGGAGAAGCCCUGUGCAGAUGGAGGUUCUCUCCAAGAGGUGGUGCUAACAAUUGCCACAGUCGGAAUAACAUAUUUGUCAAAUCUCUGUAAUCUGUUAGCAGCUGUAAUUAAAGGUUUU